This 468-nucleotide ribosomal RNA is filed under the name uncultured bacterium. Its description in RNAcentral is "partial 16S ribosomal RNA". It matches the Rfam family "Bacterial small subunit ribosomal RNA", at positions 28 to 507 of the family's 1533-position model. The record is from RNAcentral.
GACGAACGCUGGCGGCGGGCUUAACACAUGCAAGUCGAACGGAAAGGCCCUACUUUUGUGGGGUGCUCGAGUGGCGAACGGGUGAGGAACACGUGAGUAACCUGCCCUUGACUUUGGGAUAACUUCAGGAAACUGGGGCUAAUACCGUAUAGCAGCUCCUGCUGCAUGGAGGGGGUUGGAAAGUUUCGGCGGGUGGGGAUGGACGCGCGGCUUAUCAGCUUGUUGGUGGGGGAGUGGCUUACCAAGGCUGUGACGGGUAGCCGGCCUGAGAGGGUGACCGGCCACAUUGGGACUGAGAUACGGCACAGAGUCCUACGGGAGGCAGCAGUGGGGAAUAUUGCACAAUGGGCGGAAGUCUGAUGCAGCAACGCCGCGUGCGGGAUGACGGCCUUCGGGUUGUAAACCGCUUUAGCCUGUGACGAAGCGUGAGUGACGGUAAUGGGUAAAGAAGCACCGGCUAACUACGUG